This 292-nucleotide ribosomal RNA is filed under the name uncultured bacterium. Its description in RNAcentral is "partial 16S ribosomal RNA". It matches the Rfam family "Bacterial small subunit ribosomal RNA", at positions 505 to 796 of the family's 1533-position model. The record is from RNAcentral.
GUGCCAGCCGCCGCGGUAAUACGGAGGGUGCAAGCGUUAUCCGGAUUCACUGGGUUUAAAGGGAGCGUAGGUGGGCUUGUAAGUCAGUGGUGAAAUCUCUGGGCUUAACCCGGAAACUGCCAUUGAUACUAUAGGUCUUGAAUUCUCUGGAGGUAAGCGGAAUAUGUCAUGUAGCGGUGAAAUGCUUAGAUAUGACAUAGAACACCCAUUGCGAAGGCAGCUUACUACGGAGACAUUGACACUGAGGCUCGAAAGCGUGGGGAUCAAACAGGAUUAGAUACCCGUGUAGUCC